This 524-nucleotide ribosomal RNA is filed under the name uncultured bacterium. RNAcentral describes it as "partial 16S ribosomal RNA". It matches the Rfam family "Bacterial small subunit ribosomal RNA", at positions 28 to 523 of the family's 1533-position model. The record is from RNAcentral.
GACGAACGCUGGCGGCGUGCCUAAUACAUGCAAGUCGAACGAAGCUUUUUUAACUGGUGCUUGCACCGACUUAAACAACUGAGUGGCGAACGGGUGAGUAACACGUGGGUAACCUGCCCCAAAGCGGGGGAUAACAUUUGGAAACAGAUGCUAAUACCGCAUAACCACAGAAACCACAUGGUUUCUGUGUCAAAGAUGGUUUCGGCUAUCACUUUGGGAUGGACCCGCGGCGUAUUAGCUAGUUGGUAAGGUAAUGGCUUACCAAGGCAAUGAUACGUAGCCGAACUGAGAGGUUGAUCGGCCACAUUGGGACUGAGACACGGCACAAACUCCUACGGGAGGCAGCAGUAGGGAAUCUUCCACAAUGGACGAAAGUCUGAUGGAACAACGCCGCGUGAGUGAAGAAGGUUUUCGGAUCGUAAAACUCUGUUGUCAGAGAAGAACGUGUGCGAGAGUAACUGUUCGUGCAGUGACGGUAUCUGGCCAGAAAGCCACGGCUAUCUACGUGCCAGCCGCCGCGGUAA